This 465-nucleotide ribosomal RNA is filed under the name uncultured bacterium. Its description in RNAcentral is "partial 16S ribosomal RNA". It matches the Rfam family "Bacterial small subunit ribosomal RNA", at positions 28 to 507 of the family's 1533-position model. The record is from RNAcentral.
GAUGAACGCUGGCGGCGUGCUUAACACAUGCAAGUCGAACGAUGAAGCCCAGCUUGCUGGGUGGAUUAGUGGCGAACGGGUGAGUAACACGUGAGUAACCUGCCCUUGACUCUAGGAUAAGCCCGGGAAACUGGGUCUAAUACUGGAUAGGAACGUCUACCGCAUGGUGGGUGUUGGAAAGAAUUUCGGUCAUGGAUGGACUCGCGGCCUAUCAGCUUGUUGGUGAGGUAAUGGCUCACCAAGGCGACGACGGGUAGCCGGCCUGAGAGGGUGACCGGCCACACUGGGACUGAGACACGGCCCAGACUCCUACGGGAGGCAGCAGUGGGGAAUAUUGCACAAUGGGCGAAAGCCUGAUGCAGCGACGCCGCGUGAGGGAUGACAGCCUUCGGGUUGUAAACCUCUUUCAGUAGGGAAGAAGCGAAAGUGACGGUACCUGCAGAAGAAGCACCGGCUAACUACGUG